This is a long non-coding RNA of Chinchilla lanigera (long-tailed chinchilla), 576 nucleotides long. RefSeq lists it as uncharacterized. The record is from RefSeq and is a predicted model, not a curated record. The transcript is spliced from 2 exons. NCBI's taxonomy places the organism in Eukaryota, Metazoa, Chordata, Mammalia, Rodentia, Chinchillidae.
CAGCAUCAUGGGAGAGCAUGAGCUUCUCACCGCUGUUGCAACCAUGAGCAAUGGAAGUUUGAAAGUUUCCUUCAGAAACAGAAAUUUGGUCAGAUCCCUGCUCAGCUCCCAGUGGGGUUUGUUGAGCAUUUGGGAGUGUCUGCCUAGGCGCUGGCGGACAGGGUCGCUAGCCCUGAAGUCACAGGAUCCCACCCCCCUUCAGGACGAAGGACACCAAGGAAGAGGUUUAGCAGGACAUUUAGCUGCACCCAGAAGUCUCCAGUUAUUGUCCUAAAUCUGUGAUCACCUGGAUUCCCGGAAAGGUGGAGCCCCACACUUGGCUGAUAACACCACAGGCAGAGACAGAUUUUCCUGGGAAUGGAACGAUCUCUCAGCCAUGAGGAUUCCAGAGCUAUGAGACCAGGGCUGAGGUACAGAUCAACUGGACCCUACCACCAGCGGAUCCUUGAAAGCUGGCCUCCCGCCUUUGCCAGUCUGGACCCCCAUACCAGUGUGCACCCCUCCAUCAACCUAAGCUGGAUCCUUCCCUAUCUUCCCUCAAAUAAAAAACUUUUUCCGUUAAAAAAAGUUCAUAAA